RNAcentral lists this ribosomal RNA (497 nucleotides) under uncultured bacterium. Its description in RNAcentral is "partial 16S ribosomal RNA". It matches the Rfam family "Bacterial small subunit ribosomal RNA", at positions 28 to 507 of the family's 1533-position model. The record is from RNAcentral.
GAUGAACGCUGGCGGCGUGCCUAAUACAUGCAAGUCGAGCGAACAGAUGAGGAGCUUGCUCCUCUGACGUUAGCGGCGGACGGGUGAGUAACACGUGGAUAACCUACCUAUAAGACUGGGAUAACUACGGGAAACCGGAGCUAAUACCGGAUAAUAUAUUGAACCGCAUGGUUCAAUAGUGAAAGACGGUUUUGCUGUCACUUAUAGAUGGAUCCGCGCCGCAUUAGCUAGUUGGUAAGGUAACGGCUUACCAAGGCAACGAUGCGUAGCCGACCUGAGAGGGUGAUCGGCCACACUGGAACUGAGACACGGUCCAGACUCCUACGGGAGGCAGCAGUAGGGAAUCUUCCGCAAUGGGCGGAAGCCUGACGGAGCAACGCCGCGUGAGUGAUGAAGGUCUUCGGAUCGUAAAACUCUGUUAUUAGGGAAGAACAAAUGUGUAAGUAACUAUGCACGUCUUGACGGUACCUAAUCAGAAAGCCACGGCUAACUACGUG